Molecule: ribosomal RNA, 253 nt
Filed under: uncultured bacterium
Lineage: Bacteria
Description: partial 16S ribosomal RNA
Rfam family: Bacterial small subunit ribosomal RNA
Source: RNAcentral
UACGAAGGGGGCUCGCGUUGCUCGGAAUUACUGGGCGUAAAGGGCGCGUAGGCGGACAGUUUAGUCAGAGGUGAAAGCCCAGGGCUCAACCUUGGAAUUGCCUUUGAUACUGGCUGUCUUGAGUUCGGGAGAGGUGAGUGGAAUGCCGAGUGUAGAGGUGAAAUUCGUAGAUAUUCGGCGGAACACCAGUGGCGAAGGCGACUCACUGGCCCGAUACUGACGCUGAGGCGCGAAAGCGUGGGGAGCAAACAGG